This is a long non-coding RNA of Macrobrachium nipponense, 3538 nucleotides long. RefSeq lists it as uncharacterized. Lineage: Eukaryota; Metazoa; Arthropoda; Malacostraca; Decapoda; Palaemonidae. The record is from RefSeq and is a predicted model, not a curated record. The transcript has 3 exons.
UUUUCCUGCAGUUUGUCAAUGCCCGAGCUGUUCCUCUGAAUACACUCUAGUGUGCGGGCGAGUGAUCAUUUAUUCUGAAGCUUGAAUAACCAGUUCUUGCCAGAAAAUAUCGAGUAGUGAAGUUUCGUUUUCGUUACCGUGGCGUUUCUGUCGAUAUAUACUAUACCGGUCUGUGAGCGAGUGAUCAUUCUUCUCUGAAAAUAUCAAAGCUGGAGUUGGUCCUGCCUCGAAGUUGCUUUGAUAACAACCCAUUACGACCAAGAUGAAGCAGAUGGUGUACCUUUUAGUAGCAAACGCUGUUUACGGCCUGAAUCAGACUGACCUUCGUCGGGCACUUCACGCAGGAAACGAAACCGGACUAUCGUGGACCACCAUUUUUCAACUGAGCAGCGUCGUUUUAUUAGGGGUCAGCUACCUACUUAUCGGCAUUUCGACUUUCCUCAUAAUUCAUCUCAUUCGAGCCAAGAAGGAACAGCCUGGACCCAGAGUCAUUUCAGGUCCCCUGCCUCCACCCGACAUCUGCGCGAGGGAGCUUCCGUCGACAUCCAGAAAUGGCUACACCUCCGACGCAGAUCUCUCGGUUAGAUUCAACUGUAACAGAAAAAGCGAGAACGUUUAUGAGGAAUUGGAUGGUUGGCGUCACUCUGAUGCUGAUGCGACUGCGUACAACGAGAUUGAAGUAUACGACGAAUUAGAAGCCUACUAUGACUCCCUGUGCGAACAAGAUCCCAUGUUCUUGAAUAAUUUGGAUUCCACACAUGCUAAAUCCGUACACAAAACUCUGAACAGGUUUGAAGCUUAGUCAAGAACUGGCCGUAAGGACAGCAGUCCCCAAUAUCUCUCUCUCUCUCUCUCUCUCUCUCUGAAUAUAUCCAAACAUAUCUUUUCAGAAAUUUAUGUUUGUCAGAUACAAAUUAUCUUUCUCGUGUAGUAACCGUUUCAUCAGGAAGGCUGCCUCCCAAGACCUAAGAGUGUGAUAAAAGUGCAUUAUUGUUGGAACUCCUUCUAAAGUACAAUUCCAAAAUGCAAAUUUAAGUUAUCGCUGGAAUCGUCACAAAGUGAGGGUCGUAAUGAUAAUGCUUUUUAACCAGAUUUGGGUUUCCAGCGAUGGCUGGGACCCAAAAACACAUACUGAUAAUAGUAAUAAUUGAUGGGUUGACAUUGUGAAAAGUGUAAUGUGAUUUCUAUUGAUUUUCCAUGCAGAUCUCGCUCGUUUUCACUGAGAAAUUGCAAUGGACAGAGGCAUCAAAAUAGAAAUGAGUAUAAGUAUACUUUGAAGAAAAAGGUGAGGAAAAAUAGCUUGCUAAAGUGUAUCUAGGUACAGUGUAGAUGACAAGAGGAUGAAGGCACAUCUAUAUGAUCACUACUUGGUUGAAGUGAAAGUGAAAAACUGGAGAUAGUUUUGAUGAACUUUCCUCACAACUCUCAUAUGCUUUGCAUUUUUUAAAUGUUAAUAAGAUUUUCAUAGUUUUAAGCUUCCAAACUGAGCUCCAUUAAUUUAUCUUAAUUUCUUUCUGCAUUCAAAGUUUGAUUUUAUGUUGAAAUGAUAAGUGUUUGUCUGAGCACCUUUAAAAGGUUACAUUAUCAUUUUUUAAAUAUCAAUUGUCAUUUCUUCUUUCUAUCAAAUAAUUUGAAUUUUAUGUUGAAAUGAUAAGUGUUUGUCUGUGCACAUUUAAAAGGUUACCUUAUCAUUUUUUAAAUAUCAAUUAUCAUUUCUUCUUUCUAUCAAAUUAUUCUCGGCCAUUUUUGUUACAUGAAAGGUUAACAUUCACUGUUUAUACUUGUUGUAUUAUUUCUUAAGAUUAUAUUUCUAAUGUUUUUUUCAGAUGAACAGUAAAUGGUGCCUCACAAUGUUCUUUACGAUACAAAUAAUUUGAAUUUUAUGCUGAAAUGAUAAGUGUUUGUCUGUGCACCUUUAAAAGGUUCAAUACUAGUAUGUUUAUAAAAUUUUUUAUUGAUAUACUGUAAUUUUCGAAGACUGGAUGUUCUUUUAUUUUUAAGAGAUAUAAUGUAACUUUCUUUAUUGUCAUUCUGCAAACAAACCGAUACAUUGAACCACCUCUAGCAACUUUUUUCCUUAGAAUCAGCAUAAUAUGUUUUAACACGGAUAGGAGCACUUAUUAUUUUCAUAUCCUGACAAAGGUCUUAAUGGACUGAGGCCUACGCUUCAGCAAAAAUUCAUGAUUAUUGCACUACAUAUUAUAUUUUCACUAUUUAUUAUAUUUAAAGCUAUAUGCCCUCUUGUUUAAAAUAAUCAUACACAAUGACCGAUGUAUACUUUUAAGCGACUACCUUCUUCGUGUCUAAAUGGUUUAGAAAUGAACUGAUAUUUGUUCCUUUCAUUACUAAUGGGCCAACGGGUCAUGAUAUAGGUAAGUGUUCAAACUAGACAAACGUAUGUACGUACGCAUAUAAAAAGGGUCCAAUAUAAACACAUAUUAUCGCUUUAUAGCGCUUGCACGGGGAGAACGUGUUAUUUCAUCUCUGGAAAGCAAUUUAAUUUUAUAACAUAUUUACUUCGUUUUCAUUGACAAUUUUUUAUGUUAAUUAUGCAGUUGUAACUUAAAUAAGUGAAUAAUGUUCCGAAUUAAUUAUGUGAUCUAAUUUUACGUCGGGCACCAAUUUAAUGUUCUAAUGAGCAGCGAACAAUCCCCUGUACAGCGAACAGUCCCCUCGCCGGUUUUACUAUAUAAUGCAGACAGUAGGUGGCAAUACCAAAAAAACCCUGCGUAGUAUCAGCCAUUAUUAAAUUUCAAUUUUCCUGACGUAAAAAUUUAAUUACUUUAACCAGUCAUUUCUUUUUAAACUUAAUUUCAGAUUCAACCGAACUCACAUAUCUAAUUUUCGUCUUUUUUAUUUCAUGUUUUGCUCCGUGCUUUCACUAGUGUGUUCAAGAAUACGAGUUGUGAAAUCUUACGAGAGGUAAUAUUAAUAUAUCUAUCUCAAGAAGAAUCAAUACAUACCGGAGUAUGUUGAUGGUGACUCGGUAACUACUUUACACACGGACCAUUUUUUUAAUUCUAAAGGGUCAGAAAUUCAGCUUUUGAGUGCUUAUGUCAUCAUUCUAAAACGUAAGUAGUCGCCUUUGUACAUGUUAGGGGUUGAAGGAUAUCUUCUCCGGGUAACAUUUUCUUCUCGAAAUCGUGAAAUAUUGUGGUGCUGUUUUUACAUAGUGCCUGGACAUCUAGAUUUAGACCACGCAGCAAGAUACAGCCUAAAUACUCUCCACUGAAGUUGUAUCACUCGGAGCCGAAGAUUUUGAACAGGGAUGAAGUGCGACAAAGCGCCCUAUUUCAUGGAGGAGAUGUGCUAAAUACUCAAAACUAAAUAGUAACUUAAUAAGGCGUGACCCGACCUCCAGCUUACUCGGGCACAUGCUAAAAUCUAUGGUCAAGUAGUGCGUUGUUUCACUAACGAAAAUUAAAAUAGAUACGCUAUAUUUUAUAUGAAAUAAUUGUUCUGUACCAUUUAACAUGUACAUAAUUUAUUUUUUACAUUUGCAUUCUAAUAAAUAAAUCAUAAAUUUCCUAUCUUAAAA